This 497-nucleotide ribosomal RNA is filed under the name uncultured bacterium. RNAcentral describes it as "partial 16S ribosomal RNA". It matches the Rfam family "Bacterial small subunit ribosomal RNA", at positions 28 to 507 of the family's 1533-position model. The record is from RNAcentral.
GAUGAACGCUGGCGGCGUGCCUAAUACAUGCAAGUCGAGCGAACGGACGAGAAGCUUGCUUCUCUGAUGUUAGCGGCGGACGGGUGAGUAACACGUGGAUAACCUACCUAUAAGACUGGGAUAACUUCGGGAAACCGGAGCUAAUACCGGAUAAUAUUUUGAACCGCAUGGUUCAAAAGUGAAAGACGGUCUUGCUGUCACUUAUAGAUGGAUCCGCGCUGCAUUAGCUAGUUGGUAAGGUAACGGCUUACCAAGGCAACGAUGCAUAGCCGACCUGAGAGGGUGAUCGGCCACACUGGCACUGAGACACGGUCCAGACUCCUACGGGAGGCAGCAGUAGGGAAUCUUCCGCAAUGGGCGAAAGCCUGACAGAGCAACGCCGCGUGAGUGAUGAAGGUCUUCGGAUCGUAAAACUCUGUUAUUAGGGAAGAACAUAUGUGUAAGUAACUGUGCACAUCUUGACGGUACCUAAUCAGAAAGCCACGGCUAACUACGUG